Long non-coding RNA from Canis lupus familiaris (dog), 2573 nucleotides. RefSeq lists it as uncharacterized. The record is from RefSeq and is a predicted model, not a curated record. Lineage: Eukaryota; Metazoa; Chordata; Mammalia; Carnivora; Canidae. The transcript is spliced from 3 exons.
GGCGGAGGGAGAAGCAGGCUCCCUGCAGGGAGCCCGAUGUGGGGCUCGACCCCAGGACCCUGGGAUCACGACCUGAGCCAAAGGCAGAGGCUCAACCACUGAGCCACCCAGGCGCCCCUCUGAUUUGCUUUCUUCUGGCAUGGUGCGUGUGAGCACACAUCCGUGGACUUGCUGGUGCACUCACCUUCAAAGGUGAAGCGUUUGAGAGGAGAGGGGAGAGGGCUGCGUGUGCAGGUGGGGCCCUGGGAGGCAGCACACACGCAGGGAGCAGGCCAAGGGCUGAUGAAUCCUGGACGAGGUCAACAGCAGAAGGCGGGGACUUCAGGCAGCGAUGGGCUGGACCCGGGGACGGCAGCAGACCUUGGCCCGGGCUCUGCAGUAUUUUUAUUGAGAAUUGUCAGGGGAAGCUCCUCCAAAAGGGUGUGGACAGAGUCAGCGGCAACUGGCAGAUACCACAGGGCUUUUCGGGCAAGAGGACUGUGGACGGUGCAGAGUGACAGUGGUCCCUGCUCUCGAGUACCUACUGUGUGCCAGGCCCUCUGCUGGGCUCAUCUCACGUGAUCGCCCCAGCCUGGAGGCGGGUUCCCUCUCAUUUCAUGGAGGGCUCUCACGAGGCCGGGGAAGCUCAUGACCUGGCUCCAGCCCAGCAACCAGGAAUCCGGACCAGGUCUGCUGGCUUCAGGUCGGGGCCCUUUCCACGGCGCUGCGCGGCUCUCCCGUGUGCGACCGUGUCCAGCUCAGUGCUUUGCACACAGUAGGUGCUCAGGAAACACUGGCAUGAAACUUCCUUCCCUCCUUGAUGUCUCUCUCUUCUCUACCCUGUGGGUGUGCUCAGUUCUGGUGCAUUGACUGAGGCUUCCCCUGUGCCCUGCUCUGUGGGCUCCUGCCCCCCAGGCUCUGGCUGUGGGGUAAGUUCUUGCUAACAGAACUUAAGAGGGGAAGUGACACCCGUCCUAGCUUCGUGGUUAAAAAUGAGCAUGCAGGGAGGGGGAGGGGGGUUGUUGUUCAGUGCCUGAGUGUCAGUUGUGCAAGAUGAGAAAGUUCUCGAGAUCCGUUGCACAACAAUGUACACGUAGCUACUUCUGUUGUCCUGUACGCUUAAACGUGGUUACGAUGGUCAAUUUUCUGCUGUGUAUUUUUUUUUUUCAACCAUAAUAAAAACAACACCCAAAAGCCGGACAUGCCAUGUCUAAAGAGAGGGCUCCAAGGGCUGUGGGGAGAGUGGGGCCGCAGGCGGGACGGAGCCGGGGGCCCCGAGUGAACCUGUGGAAUGCUGUCUGGCCAGGAGCAUCCACCACAGGGGUGACGCUGUGUGCUGGAAAUGAGGGUGGCCCUUUUCAUGAAGAUGGGGAGCCCAGGAAGGAACAAGAGGAUGUAGGAGGAGACAGUGCCGGGGUUUGUCGGUCCCAAGGUAGAAGAAUGUCCUGCCCAGGCCUGGAGGCCGAGUCCUGAGGAUCAGGGCCAGGCUCUGCCCUUCUUCUCCUUGGUGGGGCCUGCAGCCUGUCCUCGCCAGCGCCCCCCCACCUCCUUGUGGCAGCCCUGUCCCCAUGCCUCCCGCCCCACAGGUGCCUGCUGGAAGCUUCCAGGAGCUGCUGACGGUUUGUGGCGGGGGUGACUGCAGAGCCUGCACGCGUAUGGCCGUGGGGUGAAGAACACGCUGCCGCAGACACGCCCUCAGGGAACAUCCACGCGUGGUGUGUCACCUUUAAAAAAAAUCUACAGAAUUUGCCUCACUUUACUGCAUUUACAAGAAAUCUACCUUGCAAAUAAGUUUCAAAAAUAACCUCUCGCAGCUCUGCAUCGUGCUCUGCGUCGUGCUCACCAUCUGCAGGGACAGGGUGUGGAUGUGUACGCGUGGCCUGCAGGUUCCAGCCCGGGACAGGCUUAGGUCCCGGUGGGAGGGAGGAGGCAUGGCUCGGAGGGCCUCCCGGCCAGCAUCGCACCCCAUUGUACCUGGGGCGUUGGCCUGGAGGGACAAAUGCUGGGAAAGACACACAGAAGAUUUUAGGGGAUGAUGGAGGAGACAGCACAGGCGCCUUCAGGCAGAGCGAGCCCUCAGAGGCGGACACUCCCCCUGCUAGGGUCCCCACACGGUCACCUGAGCCCCUGGCCCGGGCUCUCUUCUGUGGUAUAAAUGGGGCUUUGGGGAGAAGCAUCUGUGAAGGCUCCGGCCGGGGGGCUUUUCCAGCUCCCUGUCUACCCUCUGACUGGGGUAACAGCCUCCACCGUAUCCCAGCCCGCAUCCUAAAAUCUGACAUUGCACCAGCUUCUCCACUGUUCUCUGCCUGCAUCCCAUGAGGAUGCUGAUGCCAGCCCGGAAGGUUCUCCAUUCCAUCCUCCUUCCCUCUAGCAGCUUGCCGCUGGGCUAUGGAAAUCUCUGUCCCUCCACACUGUCCCCAGGGGGAUGGUCCUGAAACCCGUCUGCAUGCCUGGCCGGCUUACUGAUGCUUAAAAAUCUUCAUGGAGGGCAGCCCGGGUGACUCAGCGGUUUAGCGCUGUCUUCUGCCCGGGGUGUGAUCCUGGAGACCCGGGAUAGAGUCCCACGUCGGGCUCCCUGCAUGGAGCCUGCUUCU